UACGUAGGGUGCAAGCGUUGUCCGGAAUUAUUGGGCGUAAAGAGCUCGUAGGCGGUUUGUUGCGUCGGCUGUGAAAUCCCGAGGCUCAACCUCGGGUCUGCAGUCGAUACGAGCAAACUAGAGUGUUGCAGGGGAGACUGGAAUUCCUGGUGUAGCGGUGAAAUGCGCAGAUAUCAGGAGGAACACCGGUGGCGAAGGCGCUCUGCUGGACCAUAACUGACACUCAGGGACGAAAGCUAGGGGAGCGAAUGGG
RNAcentral lists this ribosomal RNA (253 nucleotides) under uncultured bacterium. Its description in RNAcentral is "partial 16S ribosomal RNA". It matches the Rfam family "Bacterial small subunit ribosomal RNA", at positions 524 to 776 of the family's 1533-position model. The record is from RNAcentral.